This 501-nucleotide ribosomal RNA is filed under the name uncultured bacterium. RNAcentral's name for it is "partial 16S ribosomal RNA". It matches the Rfam family "Bacterial small subunit ribosomal RNA", at positions 30 to 523 of the family's 1533-position model. The record is from RNAcentral.
AUUGAACGCUGGCGGCAGGCUUAACACAUGCAAGUCGAGCGGGCGAGGUUGCUUCGGUAACUGAGCUAGCGGCGGACGGGUGAGUAGUGCUUAGGAAUCUGCCUAUUAGUGGGGGACAACAUUCCGAAAGGAAUGCUAAUACCGCAUACGCCCUACGGGGGAAAGCAGGGGAUCUUCGGACCUUGCGCUAAUAGAUGAGCCUAAGUCAGAUUCGCUAGUUGGUGGGGUAAAGGCCUACCAAGGCGACGAUCUGUAGCGGGUCUGAGAGGAUGAUCCGCCACACUGGGACUGAGACACGGCCCAGACUCCUACGGGAGGCAGCAGUGGGGAAUAUUGGACAAUGGGCGCAAGCCUGAUCCAGCCAUGCCGCGUGUGUGAAGAAGGCCUUUUGGUUGUAAAGCACUUUAAGCGAGGAGGAGGCUACUUGGAUUAAUACUCUAGGAUAGUGGACGUUACUCGCAGAAUAAGCACCGGCUAACUCUGUGCCAGCCGCCGCAGUAA